Small nuclear RNA from Echinops telfairi (small Madagascar hedgehog), 111 nucleotides. The record is from Ensembl. Lineage: Eukaryota; Metazoa; Chordata; Mammalia; Afrosoricida; Tenrecidae.
AUGCUUUCCAUUCGCAGCACACUUACUAAAAUUAGAACUAUACAGAACAGAUUAGCAUGUCCCCUAUGUGACGAUGACACACAGGCUGGCAAUGUGUAUGUGCACGUCUCU